CUGGGGGUACAGGAAACUGGGCCAGCAGACCAAGCUUUGGAUGGGCUUUCCGUCCUUAGCUCACCGGCUUCCGGAGAUGGCGUUACGGAGUUUAUGCUUGCGUGUGUGCCUGCGGGGGUGGGGGGUGUGGACGCGUACGUGUGCUGUGCGAGGGGGAGUCUCCCCCUACCUUCGUGGGGAUCUGGGUUCUGGGUUGAGCUGUCUGCCCUCCCUAUCACUAUUCAUUGCCCUCCCUCAGCGGAGGCCAGGCCAAACUGUGCCAGGACCUGGUGGAUGGGGCAGGGAGCCUGCUCAGCAGAUAGCCCAACUGAUGGGGCCCAGGACUGGGCUUCGACAGACUCUUGUGGGCCACCCAGAAAGCCACGCCAGGACCAGCCCCAGCUGUUGGAUGGGCUCCCAGAGCCCAGGACAGUGUCCAGACCGAACUCCUGGGACCAAGCCAGCCCCUGGGGGGUCCUCGCCUCAUCCCACAGGAUGCAGUUGGUGAGGAAAAGGAGGUCCAAGGCUUCAGCCCAGUGAGGGUCAUCCUGAACACCCCCGGCAGAGACCAAAGGUUGCUACACCCUAGAGUGGGCAGGUGCCAUGUGGAGAGACACGUCCUGCUAUCCAGGCCCUCAGCCAGCUGCUGACAGGGCUGAGGGUCUGUAUUUAUUCAUUGUAUUGUAUUUAUUCAGUGUUCCUUUCUACUAACUGUACUAAUUUUUGCCCUAAAAUAAACGAGAUACACACA
This is a long non-coding RNA of Ornithorhynchus anatinus (platypus), 730 nucleotides long. RefSeq lists it as uncharacterized. The record is from RefSeq and is a predicted model, not a curated record. The transcript is spliced from 2 exons. NCBI's taxonomy places the organism in Eukaryota, Metazoa, Chordata, Mammalia, Monotremata, Ornithorhynchidae.